Molecule: unclassified non-coding RNA, 1251 nt
Filed under: Leishmania donovani
Lineage: Eukaryota; Euglenozoa; Kinetoplastea; Trypanosomatida; Trypanosomatidae
Description: gene:LdHU3.30.0970(CDS-product:co-chaperone_GrpE_ putative)
Source: RNAcentral
CUGCUAGGAAUAUCCUAUCACUCUUUGCACAGUUACGCACACACAUACCCAUAAAAACAAUCAUCUAAAAUGAGAGCUCUGUCGCUGCGAACAGGACUUGUCGCUCGUGCUUCUGCGGUGGCGUACACUAGUCAGCGCUGGUGCUCUGCUGACGCCAAGUCUGAGAAACGUGCUGAGGAGGAGAAAGAAGCACCAUCGACUGGCACCGAGGAGGUCGUGUCCGCUGCCGCUGUCAAGCAGCUGGAGAAAGAGCUUGAUGCGUCCAAGGCCAAGAUUGAGGAACUCAAGAAGGAGAUCCUGUACCGCGCAGCGGAUGCUGAAAACGCGCGCCGCAUCGGCCGCGAGGACGUGGAGAAGGCAAAGCUUUACGGCAUCAGCUCAUUUGGCAAGGAUAUGCUGGAAGUUGCAGACACGCUUGAGAAGGGCGUCGAGGCGUUUUCUGCCUUUUCAGAGGCUGAGCUGAAUGAAAACAAGAUUCUGUGCUCCAUUUUCACUGGCGUCAAGCUCUCGCACAAAGUUCUCCUCAAGAACCUCAGCAAACACGGCAUUGAGAAGAUGGGCGUCACGGUAGGUACAAAGUUCGACCCCAACCUGCAUGAUGCGCUUGUGAGCACUUCGGCCACUGAGACGGCUCCUGCCGACACAAUCUCCAAUGUUUUGAAGGAUGGUUACACUCUCAAGAGCCGUGUUCUUCGUGCAGCUCAGGUCAGCGUUUCCCAACAUCCGUAAAGUACAAAGCAGAGGUGAGCCGGCAACUUUUUUCGCCUGGAUGGGUUGUUUUUCGUGCUGUUCAAAACGUCGUUUCUCCAGUGCCCAAUGAUGCUGCGCAGCGUUUCUUUCUAGCCGCUAAAGGUUCACAUUGCGUUGCCGCCCCCCAAGUGAGAGGAUCUUGGAGCAGAAAGUGUUUUAUUUCUUAGGCCGAUAUAUUAUAUUGGGGGCUAACGCUGUAAUAAGCUGGAGAGAAACAGGACACGCACACGGCAGGCACUUUUUUUUUAAGUGCCGUGCGCUUCACAUGUAUUUGUGUGCUAGCGAGAUGAUGAGCGAUUCUAAAAAUAAAACAGAGGAUUUAAAGUGAGUUGCUGCGACGAGCAAUAGACUGCUCUUCCCAUUCAGCUAGCAAGCAUCGAGGAUACGGCCCAGCCUACGCGGACCUAAUGAACUUGCCGCUUUUCCUUUUGAUCCUGAUUUUCUUGCUAGUCACAUAUUUUAUUAGUACUUUUGAUCUUCUGCGGUGUAUCUGAAGACCCG